CACGUAGGGCGCAAGCGUUGUCCGGAAUUAUUGGGCGUAAAGAGCUCGUAGGCGGUCUGUUGCGUCCGCUGUGAAAACUCGGGGCUUAACCCCGAGCCUGCAGUGGAUACGGGCAGACUAGAGGUAUGCAGGGGAGAACGGAAUUCCUGGUGUAGCGGUGAAAUGCGCAGAUAUCAGGAGGAACACCAGUGGCGAAGGCGGCUUUCUGGACGGUAACUGACGCUGAGGCGCGAAAGCGUGGGGAGCAAACAGG
Molecule: ribosomal RNA, 253 nt
Filed under: uncultured bacterium
Lineage: Bacteria
Description: partial 16S ribosomal RNA
Rfam family: Bacterial small subunit ribosomal RNA
Source: RNAcentral